Molecule: transfer-messenger RNA, 386 nt
Filed under: Helicobacter pylori
Lineage: Bacteria; Pseudomonadati; Campylobacterota; Epsilonproteobacteria; Campylobacterales; Helicobacteraceae
Rfam family: transfer-messenger RNA
About the family: Bacterial tmRNA, also known as 10Sa RNA or SsrA, is named for its dual tRNA and mRNA-like properties. Its role is to liberate the mRNA from a stalled ribosome.
Source: RNAcentral
GGGGCUGACUUGGAUUUCGACAGAUUUCUUGUCGCACAGAUAGCAUGCCAAGCGCUACUUGUAAAACAGCAACAAAAAUAACUGUAAACAACGCAGAUUACGCUCCAGCUUACGCUAAAGUUGCGUGAGUUAAUCUCCUUUUGGAGUUGGACUGAUUAGAAUUUCUAGCGUUUUAAUCACUCCAUAACCUUAAGCUAGACGCUUUUAAAAGGUGGUUCGCCUUUUAAACUAAGAUUAAUGAACUCUUGAAACUACCUCAAGGUUUUAGAAAGUUGGACCAGAGCUAGUUUUAAGGCUAAAAAACUAACCAAUUUUCUAAGCAUUGUAGAAGUUUGUGUUUAGGACAAGAUUUUUGGACUGGGGUUCGAUUCCCCACAGCUCCACCA